GACGAACGCUGGCGGCGUGCUUAAUACAUGCAAGUCAACUGAACUUGAGAUAGCAAUAUUUUAAGGGAGGUGGCGCACGGGUGAGUAACACGUAGGUAAUCUGCCUUUAGGUCUGACACAACCCCGAGAAAUCGGGGCUAAUAUCAGAUGAUGCAGCGGCUCGACAUCGAGACAGUUGUUAAACCUUCGGGGCCUAGAGAUGAGCCUGCGUCUGAUUAGGUAGUUGGCGGAGUAAAAGCCCACCAAGCCUGCGAUCAGUAGCUGGUCUGAGAGGAUGAUCAGCCACACUGGGACUGAGACACGGCCCAGACUCCUACGGGAGGCAGCAGUGGGGAAUUUUGGACAAUGGGGGCAACCCUGAUCCAGCCAUGCCGCGUGAGUGAAGAAGGCCU
This 392-nucleotide ribosomal RNA is filed under the name uncultured bacterium. Its description in RNAcentral is "bacterial SSU rRNA". It matches the Rfam family "Bacterial small subunit ribosomal RNA", at positions 28 to 417 of the family's 1533-position model. The record is from RNAcentral.